This 1919-nucleotide ribosomal RNA is filed under the name marine sediment metagenome. RNAcentral's name for it is "bacterial LSU rRNA". It matches the Rfam family "Bacterial large subunit ribosomal RNA", at positions 1 to 1973 of the family's 2925-position model. The record is from RNAcentral.
UUAAGUGACGAAGCGUAUACGGUGGAUGCCUUGGCAGUUAGAGGCGAUGAAGGACGUGUAAGUCUGCGAAAAGCUGUGGUGAGCCGACAAAAUGCAUUUGAGCCACAGAUGUCCGAAUGGGGAAACCCACCUGUUUACAGGUAUCGUUAACUGAAUACAUAGGUUAACGAGGCAAACGAGGGGAACUGAAACAUCUAAGUACCCUUAGGAAAAGAAAUCAACCGAGAUUCCCCUAGUAGCGGCGAGCGAACGGGGAGCAGCCCUUAAGCUGUUUAGAAUUUAGUGGAAUCCUUUGGGAAGAGGAGCGAUACAAGGUGAUAGCCCUGUACACGACGGAUUCUUUACAGUGAAAUCGAGUAGGUCGGGACACGUGUUAUCUUGACUGAAUAUGGGGGGACCAUCCUCCAAGGCUAAAUACUCCUAACUGACCGAUAGUGAACCAGUACCGUGAGGGAAAGGCGAAAAGAACCCCUGUGAGGGGAGUGAAAUAGAACCUGAAACCGUAUACGUACAAGCAGUGGGAGCCCUUCGGGGUGACUGCGUACCUUUUGUAUAAUGGGUCAGCGACUUAUAUUUAGUAGCAAGGUUAAGUGAAUAACGGAGCCGUAGCGAAAGCGAGUGUUAACUGCGCGUUUAGUUGCUAGGUAUAGACCCGAAACCCGGUGAUCUAGCCAUGGGCAGGUUGAAGGUUGAGUAACAUCAACUGGAGGACCGAACCCACUAACGUUGAAAAGUUAGGGGAUGACUUGUGGCUGGGGGUGAAAGGCCAAUCAAACCGGGAGAUAGCUGGUUCUCCCCGAAAUCUAUUUAGGUAGAGCCUCGGACGAAUUCCAUUGGGGGUAGAGCACUGUUAAGGCUAGGGGGUCAUCCCGACUUACCAACCCUUUGCAAACUCCGAAUACCAAUGAGAACUAUCCGGGAGACACACGGCGGGUGCUAACGUCCGUCGUGGAGAGGGAAACAACCCAGACCGCCAGCUAAGGUCCCAAAAUAUUGCUAAGUGGGAAACGAUGUGGGAAGGCAUAGACAGCUAGGAGGUUGGCUUAGAAGCAGCCACCCUUUAAAGAAAGCGUAAUAGCUCACUAGUCGAGUCGGCCUGCGCGGAAGAUGUAACGGGGCUAAGCAAUAUACCGAAGCUGCGGCAGCAAGUUUACUUGCUGGGUAGGGGAGCGUUGUGUAAGUGGAUGAAGGUGAGUUGUAAAGCUUGCUGGACAUAUCACAAGUGCGAAUGCUGACAUGAGUAACGAUAAUGGGAGUGAAAAACUCCCACGCCGGAAGACCAAGGUUUCCUGUCCCAUGCUAAUCAGGGCAGGGUAAGUCGGCCCCUAAGGCGAGGCAGAAAUGCGUAGUCGAUGGGAAACGGGUUAAUAUUCCCGUACUUAUAUAAUCAGUGAUGGAGGGACGGAGAAGGCUAGGCAAGCUUGGCGUUGGUUGUCCAAGUGAAAGUGAGUAGGCUGAAGACUUAGGUAAAUCCGGGUUUUCAAGGCCGAGACACGAGACGAGCUCCCAAGGGAGUGAAGUUGUUGAUGCCCUGCUUCCAGGAAAAGCUUCUAAACUUAUGAUUAUAUGAACCGUACCCCAAACCGACACAGGUGGUCAGGUAGAGAAUACUAAGGCGCUUGAGAGAACUCGGGUGAAGGAACUCGGCAAAAUUGUACCGUAACUUCGGGAGAAGGUACGCCUCUGUUUGUGAACACUUCGCGUGGUAAGCAAAUGGAGGCCGCAGUGACCAGGUGGCUGGGACUGUUUAUUAAAAACACAGCACUCUGCAAACUCGUAAGAGGACGUAUAGGGUGUGACACCUGCCCGGUGCCGGAAGGUUAAUUGAUGGGGUUAGUUUUCGGACGAAGCUCUUGAUCGAAGCCCCGGUAAACGGCGGCCGUAACUAUAACGGUCCUAAGGUAGCGAAAUUCCUUGUC